Cimex lectularius (bed bug) is the source of this 311-nucleotide long non-coding RNA. RefSeq lists it as uncharacterized. The transcript is spliced from 2 exons. Lineage: Eukaryota; Metazoa; Arthropoda; Insecta; Hemiptera; Cimicidae. The record is from RefSeq and is a predicted model, not a curated record.
AUGGUCUGGGAAUAGUAGAGUGUAAGACUCGUUCCGGUUCAGAGUGAAAGUGUUCUUCAGAUGUACUGCGUUCACUCCAGCGGGAAUGGCCUUUUACAGCCGAAACCCGUUCAAAUUCAUUCAGGUGCUAGUCUAGUGGCGGCCGGUUCCGAUUCCGCGCGUUAAACAGCCUGUCGUCAAUUUCUUUUUAGAAAAUUUCAGCAGUAGCCAAAGGCACAACACUUUAUAGGUGUGGGAGUUGAAAACGAAGACAAUGACAUUCCUGAAAAGUCUUUGAAUCGUUCUGAAAUCGAGUGUCAAAACUAAUGAAG